Molecule: ribosomal RNA, 460 nt
Filed under: uncultured bacterium
Lineage: Bacteria
Description: partial 16S ribosomal RNA
Rfam family: Bacterial small subunit ribosomal RNA
Source: RNAcentral
CCUACGGGUGGCAGCAGUGAGGAAUAUUGGUCAAUGGACGCAAGUCUGAACCAGCCAUGCCGCGUGCAGGAUGACUGCCCUAUGGGUUGUAAACUGCUUUUGUACGAGGGUAAAACCAGGUACGUGUAUCUGUUUGAAAGUAUCUUAUGAAUAAGGAUCGGCUAACUCCGUGCCAGCAGCCGCGGUAAUACGGAGGAUUCAAGCGUUAUCCGGAUUUAUUGGGUUUAAAGGGUGCGUAGGCGGGCGGAUAAGUUAGAUGUGAAAUUCCGAGGCUCAACUGCGGAAUUGCCUCUGAUACUGUUCGGCUUGAGAGUAGUUGCGGUAGGCGGAAUGUAUGGUGUAGCGGUGAAAUGCUUAGAGAUCAUACAGAACACCGAUUGCGAAGGCAGCUUACCAAGCUACUUCUGACGUUGAGGCACGAAAGCGUGGGGAGCAAACAGGAUUAGAUACCCCAGUAGUC